UAUAUGAUAACUAAAAUUUUGUUCAGAUAAAAAAGUAUAUGCACAACUAUAUAUAGGAUAGCACAGGAAUUAUCCAUGCUUUUUAUACUUUUGUUUUAUUUUAUUUUUGUUGUUGUUGCUAAAAAAGCAGAAGAAUUUGCACUUUCAUUUGGAUUCUGAGACAGAAGGAAAAUGGGGUAUAAUUUUGCAACUUGGUCUCUACACCUUUAAUUUCAUUAUUAUCAUACAGUUUGCGACUGUUAAAGGCUAAACUAUUAAAAUGAUCAAAAGUUUUAUCGUAUAUAGGAUAAAAUGUUGGUCAUUUUAUAGAAAAGUUUAGGCGAAUUUUAUGGUGAGAGACUAAAUUGAAAUAUACAAAAAAUUAUAAAGAGUUACAUGUUGAAGUUAAAAAGUUCAGGAACUAAGUCACAAUACAGAAUAUAUAGUAUAUAUAGGGGGUAUCCAUACAUUUUAUCCACAGAAAUAUUCUUAGCUUUCUUAUCUAGAGUAAGAGCACCAUAGAAAAUUUAUUAUUUAUGACAAUUGAUUUAGCUCUCUCAGUACACAUUUAUUGUUUGUAUGGGGUUAUAUUUAUUGUUCUUUUACUUGGGUGUGAAGUGGGUACAACUACCUUUUGCAAACCUUUAAUGUGUUGAUCACAAGACAUAUAUGUGUUUUAUACUUUAUACUUAGUAUUCAUGUCCUUUCGAUCAGGAGGAUUCUAAGAUUACAAUCCAAAAUGGGUUAUAGUUCUAGCGCUAUUAUAUAAUUUAUAAGGCAUAUUAUAGGCAACAAUGAUAAGAACAAAAGUGGAACUUUUUCGAUGGUUUAGGGUGUGUUUGGUUCGCUUCUUUUUUACCCUGGAAUCGGAAACGGAAUGGAUAAAUCCGUUUGUGGGUGUUUGGUACGCGGGAGUUCCAUUCCGAUUCCGAUUCCCGAGUGGAAUGGGAAUUCUCCAAUCACCUCUUUUUCAAUCCGGCCUAGGAGGCCGGAUUGAAAGUUGAAUCCGGACGGAAUGGAUAUUUAUUCGGAUUAAAUUUAUUUUUUCAACUUUUUUAAUUAAAAUAUGAGUUAAAAUUUUAAAAUUAAAUAUAUAGUUUUAANGGGCUAGCUCGGCGGGCGGAAGGCGUCCCCUGCGAUGAGCUUUUUGUUGUUUUUAUAUAAUAUUUCUUAAUUCAUCUUAUAUACUUAUAUAAGAAUGAAAAUAUAGUAUUUUUUUCAGAAACAAUCCAAACACCUAAAACAGAGGUGUUUUUUAAUAGAGUAUGGAGUAUUUCAGCAUAUCAAAUACACUGUAAAAUAAAAUUUUGUUUUAUUUCACAACAAUUGCCAAACAGACCCUUAUUAUAAAGAUAAAGUUAAUAUAUUAAUCUGAUUAUGUUUUUUAUAUUUACCUGAACCAAACACCGACAAUGGGAAUGAUUUAUUCCGAUUCCGAUUCAGGUGAUGAACCAAACAAAAUUAGGUAAUGAGUCAUUCCGAUUCCGAUUCCAGCUUAUUUUGAUUCCGAUUCCGAUUUCGAUUCCGACUUCGAACCAAACGCGAAUGUUGAGAUUGAAAAUUGGCGAAAAGUUUGGAGACCAGUGGUGUAAUCUACCAUAAUAAUUAAUUUGGCUUUUACUAUACUGUUGUUGAUCACUGUUGCAUGGUUGGUUCAAUAAUACAGCAUACGAAGCAAUGGAAGUUUUAUGGUAAACUGGUGGGGAUUGUCUAAGGAUGAUGUGAUCUGUCACACACUUUGCUGGUAAUUAAUUAAUGUUUUCAUAAUCAUGAACAUGUUAUGUGUAUGUGGAUUUCUCAAAUAGCAAUUCUAGGUGCAUCGAAGUCAACCAAAAAAAAGGAAAAAAUUCAGCUGAGUAGACAACAUUAGGAGAGAGAGUCUCAAGGUUUGAUUAAGUCCUGUUAAAUAUAAAAAAUGUUUAAACACCGUUCUUUAACAGCUUAAGCUUUUAGAGUACAACGGUUGUUUCACAUGGUAUCAGAGCAGGAGGUCCUGAGUUCGAGUCACGCCAGGCUCCUAGCAUAUUAAUUUCCUCCCAUUUAAUUCAAGCCCACGUCAUGGGCCGAUUAAAAAGUCUCGAGCCCAGACGUGAGGGGGAGUUUAACAGCUUAAGCUUUUAGAGUACAACGGUUGUUUCACAAGUCCCGUUUGUUUUGGUGUAAGUGGAGGGGUGGAACUUAAAAUCUAUUACUUUCGAUAUUUAUUUUAGUGUAAGUCAAAAAUAUAGUACUGUAACUCAAGUUACGUUAGAUCUCCACUUCAUCUAUUCUCGACUUCUCCCUCUAAAGUGCCGAACUCGACUUCUGUCACACUCAACCUUCUCUAACUAAUUUAUUAAAUAGUAAAAUCUAAACUCUAUUUUUUUUAUAAUGGGUUAGAAUUAUCUUAUUUACAGUAAAUUAGGAUUAGCUUUAAAUAAUAAUGAAAAUUUUAAUUAUUUAAUAAGUUAAAUUUUAUAGUGGUAAGUUUAUCACUAUAUUCAGGAGAUAACGGGAUCCACUUACUUAUAUCAAAAUAAAUAAUGAAACUUAAAAAAUUAAUUUCACCGGUACCAAGUUAUAUCAAAAUAAACAGAAGAAGUAAUUGAAUUUAACUUUCAGACUGUACAAGUUACGUCAAAACAAAUAAUAAAAAAAUAACCACACUUAAGGAAAACUCAAAUACCACUGUACUUCAGCAUAUGGAGUAAUUAAUGCUAGGGUACCUUAGAAUGUUCCCAAAAUGCAUUCGGUGGAUCAACUUUUCAUAUGUGAUAUCUUGUUAGAUACCAUUUGGUAUGGGCAUUGCUGUGGGUGGAACAGCUUGUUCCCACCCAUAGCAUGGAAUAGGAGUGGAAACAAAAAAAUAUUCCCACCCUAAAAUUUUUUUAAAAAAAUCUAAAAUUUUAAAAAAAUUAAAUUUAAAAUUUUAUAAUUAAAUUAAAUUAAAUUAAAAAUCUCAAUAUUAAACUUUAUAAUUUUAAAUUUUAAAUUUAAUUUUUUUAAAUUUAAAUUUUAUAUUUUUAAAUUUAAAUUUUAUUUAAAAUUUAAAAUUUAAAAUUUAAAAUACUAACUUUUUUAAUUUAAAUUUUAAAUUAUAAUUUUGAAAUUUGAAAUUUAAAUUUUAAAUUUUAAAUUUGAAAUUUAAAAUUUGCUAUUUGAAAUUUCAAUUUUGGAUUUUAAAAUUUAAAAGUUAAAAUUUAAAUUAAAAAAUAUAAAUAAAAAAUUUAAAAACUUAAAUUCAAAUAUAAUAUAAGAGGUAAUAUUAUUAUUUUCUAUUUAUAACUGCCAACUAUUCCUCUUAUUCCAUCUUAUCUUUUCAAACGCUAUUUUUCUUAUUCCCAAGAACAACCUAAUUUUAAUCCAAACGCAAAAUUGAUCUAGUUCUCUCUUGUACUAGAAUUUAUAUCUGUUUCUGAAAUAAACAAUUCUUACUUAUACUUGAACCAAACAAAGCCUCGGUGAUUUAACUUUUCAAAAUUGAUGUCUAGCUCAUGUGUCAUGUCUUGAAUUAUACCAACCAAACAACUUAAUUACCGUCUUUUAUGCAGAAACUGUGUUUUGAGUAGCUCCUUAGCAUGGAUUUAAGUGCGUGGCACGGGAUCGUAUAAGAAACUUGCUGGCAUGAUAUGACACGGUGCAUUCCAAGGCAAAGAAAAUGAUGCCAUAAUGGGCCUACUUAGGUCUCAAUGGGCCUGGUUUUAUGGGCCUUCUAAGCUAAAAUCUUCGUUGGGCCGUAUAAAUUUCUUAGGGAUGAUCAGUCUUUAUCAGUCUCUUUUUAUUGAAUGAUUUCUUGAUUAUUGGUUUCCAGCUGAUUAUCGCUUUAAAUUAAAUGUUUUACUCAGUUCAAACAAUAUAUUAACUUAAAAUAUUUACACAUUGUUUACAUACUAUUAGAGCACUAUUCUCUAUUAACUUAAAAAAGUAUCUAGAGACCACGCCGAUGCUGCGAAUUCAAAUCCCUCUAUAUACGCCCUUGGGGCAUGUCGGUUAUUUGAUUUAAAGUAAACAUGAUAAGGAAUGUUGUACACGUAAGUUUAAACCAAUCGUUCUUCAGUAGCUUAAGCUUGGAAUUGACAUGUUAAAGUUCUGGAUGGUAUGCAUGAAAAAUAGAGUUUAUAGCACGCAACAGUGUUUUAGAAGUUAAAUUUGAAUGUAAGUAUCUCCUAGUUUAUGUUGUUUCUGAAACAGUACAAAAUCUGGUGUGAUCUCUCCUGACCUACUUGUUUUUUUCACUUAUUCACCAACUUUGCACGGGUAUUUGAACAAUUUCACACAUUUGCAAGGCUACAUACGGCGCAAUUUCUUGUAGUAAGUGCGCGAAACUUUCGAUUCCUGCUAUAACUUGUUAGUAUGCUCGUCUCAGGUGGCGUGUAUUCGUCGCUAGAUUGGUCUGAAGAGGAAUGGAACAUAAAUAUGACCACCAAUCUAACCGGCUUGUGGCUGGUGUCGAAAUACGUAUGCAGAAGGAUGCGCGAUGCGAAGCAGAAAGGCUCGGUGAUUAACAUUUCGUCGAUCGCUGGUCUCGAACGAGGACAACUGCCCAGAGGAGUCGCCUAUUCCGCCUCAAAAGCCGGUGUUAAUUCCGUCACCAAGGUAACAUUGAUCUGAACUUGAAACUCUGGCAUUAGCUUGAGAUUCUCUUUUCGCAGUUCACCGGAAGCAUAGAUUGAUAUGAUAGAGAUUCGUUCUUAACUUAAACUCGGUGAAUCGAAACAAAGUGAUUCGAUUUCCAUUUGAAAUGUGUGACAAUGGCGAAUCGAAACGACAAUUCUAGCCCAUCAUUUACUGCGCGCGCAGUUCAGGUUUUAAGUUCAAAGCAGGAACUAAAUGUAAAUUAAAACAUCAAGUUUAAAUUUAAGUUUUAUUGGCUUAAUUUGCAGGUGAUGGCAUUGGAGCUGGGGGUGCACAAUAUAAGAGUGAACUCUAUAAGCCCAGGCUUGUUUAAAUCUGAGAUAACAGAGGGUCUCAUGCAAAAGCAGUGGCUGAGCAACAUCGCGACGAAGACCGUCCCGUUGAGGACGUUCGGAACAUCGAACCCGGCGGUGACGUCUCUCGUGUGGUAUCUCAUCGACGACUCCUCGGAGUAUGUCACGGGCAACGUCUUCAUCGUCGACGCCGGGGCCACGCUACCGGGUGUCCCCAUUUUCUCCUCUCUAUAGUCCUUUAUGCAUGACUUGUUUUUGACUAUUGUGGGGAAUUUGGAAGUAAUUUUAUUAUAUUUUCUUUGGUGUUCAAUGUGAAAGGAGGAUGAAUCGUUUGAAAUUUCUCUAUAUAUGAAUGGGUUACAAUUGCAAGAACUAUGGCAUAGAAAUGUAGACAUGUUAAGUACUUUUUCGAAGAAGUUACACGAUUGAACUGAUGUAAGAAGAAGGAUCAGGCGGAACGGCGACGGCGACCGCGCCCUCGAGCAUCUGAGCCACUUUCCGCAUCGACGGCCUCAGCGAUGGCUCCUCCUGAAUGCACCAGAUAGCUACCAUUACAAAUCUCUCCACUCUCCUUAUGUCGAACAUCGCCUCCUCAUCGCUGUCCACCAGGAGGUCCAGUCUGCCAUCCUUAAAGCAAUCGUAAGCCCAAUAUGCAAGCACUGUUGUCUCCUCCGUUGCUGCCUCCGUCUGAACAUUCUUCCUGCAACAUACGAUCUCUAGUAGCAAGAUACCAAAGCUAUAGACAUCGACCUUCGCAGUGACCGCCGAGUUCUUGAACCACUCGGGUGCAACGUACCCUUUGGUUCCUCUGAUGGCCGUGUUGGUUCGAGUCUGGUCGGCGCGAAGGAGCUUCGCGAGCCCGAAGUCUGAUAUCUUGGGGAUGAAAUUAUCCCCGAGCAGUAUGUUCUGAGACUUGAUGUCGCAAUGAAUGAUCUGGGUAGUACACUCUUCAUGCAAGUACAAAAGACCUCUUGCUAUCCCCAAUACUAUCUGGGCCCUUUUGUUCCACUCAGGCCGGGUGCAUCCGAAAAGAAAGCUUGUUAGCGAGCCAUUGCUCAUGUACUCGUACACCAGCAUUCGAUGGUUCCCCUCGUUGCAGAAUCCGAGUAGCUUGACUAAAUUUUUGUGAUGGGUUUGUGCGAUCGACCGCACCUCGUUCGUGAACUCUUGCUCGGAUUCCUUGGCCGCCGCCCGAUCCAGCUUCUUCACGGCAAUGGCCAUGUGGAAUUCCGCGGCUAAGGCCCCCUUGUAUACUAUGCCGAAACCUCCGCUGCCGAGCUCUUCUCGAAAGUUGUCGGUGGCUUCUUCCAAUUCUUUGUAUGUGAAGACUCUUAGGUUCGACCGCAACAUGGUCUGCGCUAUUUGAUUCUUCUUAUUUUUCGUGCGAUUGCAAAAGGAGAAGGAAACGAUAGCCGCGGCGAUUAUGAAGAGCACGUUGAGGAAUCCGGAGCUACCCAAGAGGGCGGAGAUGACGAGGAUUAGUGUGUUCCGAUCCUUCUUCACUAUAGUUAUCGGAUUCUGCGGGCCCUGGUUAGGCAAGGAAGCAUCGGUUUUGGGCAUUUUGAUAAGAGCCUUCCCCCCUACACUCAUCCCUUGCUGACCAUUGGUUAAAGGCAUCUUCAUCUUCCAACAGUCCGGCAUCCGAAAGACGGCCACACUGCACAAGCAGUCGGCUAGGCAUGAUGCUCGACACAUGUCUUCAUCGGUUGGUGUGUAGUGCUCAUAGCUGUCCCCCGGCCAAUCCGUGUUUGGCAUCUCAAGGAACAAGUAUUGACUUCUCUGGUACUGUUCGCAGCUCUGCACGGCAAAGUCUGGUAUGCAGCCUAAGUACGUACGAUUUGUAUCGACGAACUUGCAUCCUAACGCGCACUCACAUUUGAGCUGCUUUGAUUGAUCAUCGUCGAGGCUGCAGUACGCAUUAAACCCGCAGGCGGCGGCGCCGCCGUCGCUGUCCGCCUGGAUUGUUUGGCAGAGGUUGGCAGGCAACAUUCCGACGGCGUUCCACUUGUCGGUCGACUUGGUAUUGUUGUUGUUUUUGGGGUAGAUAUAAAGGCGUAAUGCACCGUCUGGAUCUAGCGUGGCAUGUUGGUAGAAGUCGGUAGGGGAGUAUACAGCAGCUGAGGUGAGUGCGGUCUGGUUGUUGUUUUCGACCUGAUAAUAGAGCGAGCCGGAUGAGUUGAAAACGAGCUGUAACAUUUUGGCAUAUUGAGUACCGGAGGCCCAAUAUGCAUGGUAUUUGUGGCCGGUGGGGACGGCGACCGGGUAAAAGACCAAAUUGCCAUCUCCUUGGACUGCUAGCUCGAACCGACCUGGGGAGAAGUCCGAGUCGCUCAUUUUGGAUCGGAGUUCUGAGUUCUCGGCCAAGGACUGACCUGGGAGGAUCGUGUCGGUUGGAUUUUGAAAGCUUUGCCACGGAAAGGCUCCGCUGCUAUCAUAGAGAACGAGGUUCCCAGAGUCGAGGAGACUUACGCCGGUCGCAUUAGCUGCGUCUGGGCUCCAGACUUCCUGACCGUUCGAGUCGAAAAGUGAGAGCUGGCUGGCCUGGGUGAGUUGGAGGGUCGAUUUUGCGGGCACCUGCACCGGAUCGGUGUUGUUGGUGGCGAACCAAACGACGACUUGCGGUGAGGUGGCGUUGAACCACACGGCGAGAAGGAAGAGGGAGGAGUUGGCGUCAAGGGGCCAGAAGCCGAAUGCAAAGUCACCGGAUGGAGAGAAGAUGGAGGAGUUGGGCCCCGACGAGCUGAGACUGGAGCCCACGGUCAGGUUCUGAUAAGAUUUUGCCGCGACUAAUGAUAACCCUCGGCCGAGGAGGAGGAGGAGGAGGAAGAGGAAUAGAAGAGAAGGGUUCGUUGCAUCCGUAUCCAUGUUUAGUGGUGGUGGUGGUGGUGGUGGUGGUGGUGGUGGUUCUUCUCUUCCUCGGCUGCGGAGAGAGUAGAGUGUGGAAAGAUAUUAUAGAGGGCUAAACGUAUUGUUGACUUGACGGUUGACUUGGAGAAGAACACCACAAAAAAAUGAGUGGUGAACACCUAUGACGCGCAGUUAAGGCAACCGGAAAAAUGUACAAAGAGCUCCUAACCUUUAGUUUUCUAAAACUUUCAAUUUUAAUAAUUAGACUCUUUAAAACUGGUCAAAUAGUUUAAUAGAUUCAUUUCCUCAAUUAAAAUUACUAAUUAUAUAAUCAUUUUUUUUUUUUUUUUAUGUCUUGCUCAUAAUUUUAUAUGACUUUUAAAUUAUUAAAAAAAAUCUAUCUUUUACUUGUAAUUUUAUUGACUAAAUGUGAGGAUUGAAGCAUAGGAAUACGUAUCUAAUUUCGAGUUUUGUUCUCUUUUUAAUAUAAUAUUAGAAUAGAUUUUUUUUUUUUUUUUGUAUUUCAAAAUUUUAUGAGAUAAUAUGUAAGGCAUUUGAUUAGAAUAGUUGCAUAAUUAGUAACUUUAAUUAAGGAGAAGGAUGUGUUAAAUUAUUUGAUAAAAUUUAGGCCGUAUAUAUAAUUGUUAAGUUAAAAUUUCUAUACUUUUUUAUAAAAAGCUAAAGUUUCAUGGGCUUAUAAUUGUUAAAGGCUCACGCGUGGAGAGGGCUUUUUUUUGCAUUUAGCCUUCUGACAAAUUUUUAUUUUAAAAAUAACCUUGUUAAAAUUUAAUUUACAAAAAUGGCCUUAAGCCUGCCACGCAGGCGCUACGUCAGCGCCACGCGGGCGGAGCUGGGGGCGGUAGUUAAGUACAACACGGUGAACCAUUCACCGUGUUGUAUAUUAAAAAGAGGAAUAGAAAAUUUGUAUUCCAUUUCUUCUCUUUUUCAAAAAUCUGAACCCGAACCCGAAAAUUAAAUUAAAAUCCAAACUCGGAUCCGAAUCCGACGGAUUUUAAAAAUUCAUACUCAUAUCUAUAUCCGACCAAAAACUCGAAAUCCGAACCUGAACCCAGCGGGUUUUAAAAAUCUAUACCGUUGGAUGAAAAUCUAAGAAAUAAAAAUUAUUAAAUAUUUUAUAUAUUGUAUAAAUAAAUAAAAAUAAAUUAUGUAUAUAUAUAUAAUUUAUUCGGGUUUGGAUUCGGAUAAUAUUUCGGAUAUCCAUACCUAUUGACAUUCCCUACUCCCUAUUUCUCUUUUCAAUAUACAAAAAAUACGUACUAAACACGGUGAACUAUUCACCGUGUUUGAACACGGGGAAUGGUUCACCGUGUUCAACUUAACACACAGGCCCUAGCCCUGCCCGCGUGGUGCUGACGUGGCGCCUGUGUGGCAGGCCCAGAGCCAUUUUUGUAAAUUAAAUUUUGACAGGACUAAUUUUAAAAUAAAAAUUUGCCAGGGCUAAAUGCAAAAAAAGCCUCGCGUGGAGAAAUUGUUGUCUGCUAAAAUUUAAUUAAAAAAAUAUAAUUGUUAAAUUUAAUUAAAUAUAAUUUUGGCAUCCGGACAAAUUAUUAUCAUGUGAAGAAAUAAUACCUCAUUAAUAAAAAAAAUAAUAUAAUUAAAUAAUAUUAAGGCCAAUUUGGGUAAAAACUCUACAAGUUUUGAGCUUUUGCAAAACUGGACCACCUUUUUCGAUGUUUACAGAUUCGUACCGAAUUUUUAAAAAACUGACCAAAAUACUUAGUUUCCUUUCUUUCUCUUUUUUUUCUCUCGUUUUUUUUUUUUCCUCUUCGAAGAGGAGGCAAAGGCCCCCCCACGCCCUCGCACGUGUCCGCGCACCACCCGCCCUCCUUAACUCCGACCCUACCAAGGUUGCGCUCGCUGCCGCUCUUUCGGACGCCCUUCCUCGCCUCCGCCCUAUGCACCCUUGCCCGCCUCUUACCCUCCCCCCCCAUUCUCGCCUGCGACCCCGCCGAGGCUGCGCCACUAUCCUCUUUUUUUUUUUUUUUUCUUUUUUUUUUCUUUUUUUUUUUCUCUCCGAACCUCCUCCACCCCUUCCGUAGCCCUUCGCGACCCACCUCCACCUCCACCUCCACUACAGCAAAUUUUUCACCCACCAAACCCAUUUCUGAGAACUCGCCGUCCUCACCGCCACCGCCGAUGACGAAAAGAAAGCGCUUCUCAGCGCUAAGAAGCUCGCUGGCAGAGGAGGGGGCACGCGACCCACCACGCCCACCAAGGCCGGCGACGUGCGAGGUAGAGACAGAGGAGAGUGUGAUGACGCUGGAGAAGAUGGCAGGGCAGCGGCGAGUGCGGCUGUAACAUACCGAACUUCACAAAUCAUGAAGUCACGGUAUACAUUUAAAUGGUUCCGGUGCGGUUGCGGUGGAAUGUAACAUACCGGAUUUUAAAUAUAAAAGUGAAAAUAAAUAAAAAAUAGUAUGAGAUACUAAUUUAAAGUUUCAUAUUAUUCUGACACUCGUAGAGUGAGAAAUAGGAUCCGAAAGCUAUCUGAUAAAGAUUGCAGUUCGGUACAGUUUUCAGUGACCAAACGGGGUCGAAACUGAAAUAUUAAAAUUUCUUUGGACUUAUUNAAGAAGAACUAGAGAAAAAGGAAGAAGAAGAUGAAGUUGCAUUGUUAAGAUAAAGGUAUACUGUUUUAGAAGAACGUUACAUUAUUAUAAACAUAAGUUGCACUCUCUGAGAUAUAAACUACACCCUUUAAGAUGAAAGUUACACUCUUUAAACGAAAAUUGCACUCAUAGAGUGUAACUUUUCGUUUAAAGAGUAUAAUUUAUAUCUUAAAGGGUGUAGUUUACAUCUUUCUCUUAAAGAGUUUAACUUUCAUCUUAAAGGGUGUAGAUUACAUCUAUAACAGUGCAAUGUUUUUCUAAAAUAGUGCAAUUUCAUCUUUUUCUUCCUUUUUCUUUUGUUUUUUUUUUUCCUUAUUCUCUAAUUUUUGGCCUUUAGUUAAUUUUUUUUAUUUGCAGCAAACAAAAGUACUUGACCAAAGAUGCUCUUGUGCACCCCUCACCCUCUUCGCCUCCUCGCCUCCGAUCCCGCUGAGGCCGCGCUCGUAGCCGCUCGUCAUCGCGCUCUUCUCUGUCUCCACCUCACUCGUCGUCGGUCCAGUGGGAGCGGUGGGCCGCGUGCCCCCUCCUUCGCCAGCGAUCUUCUCAGUGCCGAGAAGCGCUUUCUCUUCAUCGUCGGUGGCGGUGGUGAGGACACGGGUUCCCAUAUGUGGAUUUGAUGGGUGAAAAAUCUGUUGCAGUGGAGAUGGAGGGCGAAGGCGAAGGAAGAGAAUGUGGUGUUGUUCUUGUUACCGUCAUGGAGGGCUGCAGAGGCGGUGGAGGAGGUUAGCGGGGGGUGAACGGGCGUGGGCGAGGGCACAUGGGGCAGAGGCGAGGAUAGGCGUCCCAAAGGGCGACGGUGAGUGCAGCCUUGGUGGGAUCGAAGGCGAGGAGGGCGGGUGGUGUGCGGACGCGGGCGAGGGCGUAAGGGGCAGAGGCGAGGCACGCCGUUCCUGCCUCCGCCUCCUUCUUCGGAGAGGGAAAAAAAGAACGAGAGAAAAAAAAAAGAGAGAGAGAAAGGAAUAAGGAUAUUUUGAUUCAUUUUUUGAAAAUUCGGUCCAAAUCUGUAAAAUUGAAAAAAAUGGUCCAAAUUUACAAAAGUUCAAAACUUGUGAUUUUUUAUGCAAAUUGGCCUAAUAUUAACUAUAUAAAACAGAAAAACGACGCGGCGGUGUAUUGAUUCUUGCCUGCCUAUCUUUAAUAUUUCAACGGCUAAAGUACACUUUGGUUUAAAGUGGCAGCUUUUAAUUUGAAUAUUUUAAAUUAUUAUAAUCGAAUCUUACAAUUCAAUUUAAUUGAUUUAGACUUAGUUUGGUAUUGAGACUUAUCUAACGUUAUUAUAUAAAAUUGAGUUGAGAAAAAGCAUAUAGUGAUAUGCUUCUACAUUGUCCGGUGGAACCGUAGAAAAUAUAUAAUAACCGAUUUAUCGCGAUAUGCGAAACGCAACAUACGAAUAGGGUAUUUUUCCAACGUACUUUCUCACAACACGUAACGCAAUCUUCCCGCAAUCCCCAACGAAGCCUUAAUAUUGGUGUGUCGUUCAGAUAGACAUAAUGCGGAAUAAAUUGAAAUCACACUAUUUCGGUAGAAUAAAUCAAAUAAAUCUUGAUAAAAUAGAUAACAACUGUUAAUGGAGCGUCCGAGAGUCAUUCUCUUGCGGCCGUGGAUAAUCAUCGCAACUCCAAGAAUUGCUCGCCACAAAUCUCUCCAAUAAGAUUGCACAAGGACUUUUUUUUAUUAUUUUUUUGUUGCAAUCUAUACCAAAAUAGCACAAAGACUUAUCUUUAUCAUUGUAAUUUACACACAUUUUUAAUGUAUUGCGAGUAAUUCUUGAGCAUCAACUUGUAGAAAAAGUCUAGAAUGUUACAGUCACAUUAACGAUGUAAUGUCUCCAGCGAAUUAAAUUGCAUCCCAGCGGUUCAUCCAUCCCAUUAUAAUUUUUUUUAAAAUAUAUUUUUAUUAUACUUUUUUUUUUUUUUUUUUUUUUGUGUUCUUUUGUUGUUAGCUUUUGAACUUUUUUAAAUUAAAUUACCUAUGCAUGCAAGCCGGCCUGCUUUUUUUUUUUUUUUUCUAAAGGAAGAGAUGCGAUUGAUUAGAUAUAAAUAAUAUAAUGUGGCUGCUACGUAGUAAACUUUCUCAAAUUUGUACAUGAUCGCUAUCAAAGUUACAACGAAAGGUUCAAAAAAGAAUAAAUUGAACGUUUGGUCCUCGAACUAUGGGAUAUAUGACACUUUAAUCGAAUUGAGCUCCUAUGCUUUUAAAAGUAUCAAGACAUUGGUGCUUGUAGAUUUUUAGCCAUUGGAUUAAGAGAUAUGCGGUUAGAAUGAUGUGGGCCUUCUAGGGUUGAGUGGGUGGUUGGUUGAAUAGUAUAAUCUAAUGGUUGAAAAUGAUCCGUAGAGUAAAUCUAAUGGUAAAAAACUUACAAACACCAAGUGCUUGGUGCUUUUACAAGCACCAUAGCUGGACUCCACUUUAAUCUUCAAAUUUUAAUUUAUUAUAGUUUCUGGCUUAAAUUUUCAGAAUUGUUAUAUUCAAAUCCCACAAUCUAAUUUAAUUGACUAAAUUUUAACACAUUAUUAAUGUAAAAAUUAUACGCUAUAUUAAUUAUUGGCACAUUAUUAAUCACAACACUACUACAUCACAUUUAUAUCAGCGAUAUAUCAAUAUUUAGUCAACUAAAUUAAAUUAUAGAACUUAUUUGUAGCAAUUCUGGAAAGUGAAGCGCAAAAUUGUAAUAAA
Molecule: long non-coding RNA, 13039 nt
Filed under: Ananas comosus (pineapple)
Lineage: Eukaryota; Viridiplantae; Streptophyta; Magnoliopsida; Poales; Bromeliaceae
Description: long non-coding RNA (ACOM_LNC027634)
Source: RNAcentral